UCUCCGUAGGUGAACCUGCGGAGGGAUCAUUACAGAGUUCUCGCCCUCGCGGGUAGAUCUCCCACCCACUGUUAUCGUUACUGUGUUGCUUUGGCGGGCCGCCGGGCCCCGCUCGGCCGCCGGCUCCGGCUGGCGCGCGCCCGCCAGAGGCCCAGCAAACUCUGAGUGUUAGUGUCGUCUGAGUACUAUAUAAUAGCUAAAACUUUCAACAACGGAUCUCUUGGUUCUG
RNAcentral lists this unclassified non-coding RNA (229 nucleotides) under plant metagenome. Its description in RNAcentral is "partial contains small subunit ribosomal RNA, internal transcribed spacer 1, and 5.8S ribosomal RNA". The record is from RNAcentral.